CGGAAAUAGCUUGUCUCUAAAGAGUCAGAUGCUUUGGCGCGACCACUUUUCUUCUUUGUGGGCCGGCGUUUGCGUGUUUUUCUUUUUACACAACCGGGAAUAUCGGAGUAACAUUGUCUUUCUCUGUUUCCCUAGAUUUGCCAGAAAAUCUGCAAAGUCGUAUAGCCACAGCACGCGCAAAAGAAGAAAUCUUGAACUGAAGUGAUCGGGGAACCAAGGAUCCUCCUUCCCGCGGACCAGGACAGGCCAGAACUUGAAAUGGCCCGGAAGAACGGAAAUGUGUCCAGGACACCUCAGUUGCCUCUUUUCUUCUAAUUUGAGAAAAGGAAGAGUAUCAAGAAGGAAUAAGUGAAGGAACAGAAAGGAGCCUCCUCAACCUGAUGAAUGGAAUCUGUAAAGAACCUACAAAUAAC
This 413-nucleotide long non-coding RNA is filed under the name Equus caballus (horse). RNAcentral describes it as "lncRNA (ENSECAG00000058185.1)". Lineage: Eukaryota; Metazoa; Chordata; Mammalia; Perissodactyla; Equidae. The record is from RNAcentral.